CCUACCCUUUAACCCUUCCCCCGGUUGGUUCGGUUCCGUUACCCGUUUACCGUCCCCCGUACCCCCGAACCGUAACCGUUACGGGUUCCGGGGUACGGGAAACCGGAAACGGGCCGGUCCGUUCCGUUCGGUUCGGUUCGUUAACGGUUAACUACGGACCGUCGUAGGGACGUCCGUAAACGGAACGGUCGGGGUAGGGGACGAAACCAAACGGAAGUUAAGUUAAGUAACCCUUACCCGGUUAGGUUACCGUACCCGACCCGGUAAACCCGGUAAAACGUAGUAGGUAGGUCGUACGGUUAGGUUUGGGGUUUCCGGUUUUCCCCGGGUUUACCCGGUACCUACGUAGGUCCGGCCCGAGACGUAACCGUAACCGACUUAAAGUACGACCUACCCGCCCGUCGGGAGGGUACGUACCGACCGACGGUUAGGUAACGUAACAAGAAAGUUAGUACGGCGGGGCCCCGCACAAGCGGUGGAGCAUGUGGUUUAAUUCGAAGCAACGUCGACGCGGCCG
This 517-nucleotide ribosomal RNA is filed under the name uncultured Pseudomonas sp. RNAcentral's name for it is "partial 16S ribosomal RNA". The record is from RNAcentral. Lineage: Bacteria; Pseudomonadati; Pseudomonadota; Gammaproteobacteria; Pseudomonadales; Pseudomonadaceae.